GGUAAACGCUGACACGAAGUGGCUUAACACAUGCAAGUCGAUGAUGGGAGCGUAAGCCGUAGACGUUAGAAGAAGUCAUGGCGGACGGGUGAGUAACGUGUAAAGAACUUGCCCUCUAGACUGGGAUAACAGAUAGAAAUGUCUGAUAAUACCGGAUAUUAUUGUUACAUGGCAUCAUGUAGGAAUGAAAGGAUAAGAUUGCUAGAGGAGAGCUUUGCAUCCUAUUAGCUAGUUGGUAAGGUAGAGGCUUACCAAGGCGAUGAUAGGUAGCCGGCCUGAGAGGGUAGACGGCCACAAGGGACUGAGACACGGCCCUU
This 317-nucleotide ribosomal RNA is filed under the name uncultured bacterium. Its description in RNAcentral is "bacterial SSU rRNA". It matches the Rfam family "Bacterial small subunit ribosomal RNA", at positions 46 to 334 of the family's 1533-position model. The record is from RNAcentral.